RNAcentral lists this ribosomal RNA (253 nucleotides) under uncultured bacterium. RNAcentral describes it as "partial 16S ribosomal RNA". It matches the Rfam family "Bacterial small subunit ribosomal RNA", at positions 524 to 776 of the family's 1533-position model. The record is from RNAcentral.
UACAGAGGGGGCAAGCGUUAUUCGGAAUUAUUGGGCGUAAAGGGCGCGUAGGCGGCUUGGCAAGUGGAAGGUGAAAUCCCUCGGCUUAACCGAGGAACUGCGUCUGAUACUGGAUGGCUUGAAUCCGGGAGAGGGAUGCGGAAUUCCAGGUGUAGCGGUGAAAUGCGUAGAUAUCUGGAGGAACACCGGUGGCGAAGGCGGCAUCCUGGACCAACACUGACGCUGAGGAGCGAAAGCCAGGGGAGCAAACGGG